Molecule: ribosomal RNA, 292 nt
Filed under: uncultured bacterium
Lineage: Bacteria
Description: partial 16S ribosomal RNA
Source: RNAcentral
GGACUACCAGGGUAUCUAAUCCUGUUUGCUCCCCUUGCUCUCGUGCCUCAGCGUCAGGAAAAAGCUAGAGAACCGCUUUCGCUACCGGUGUUCUUCCAUAUAUCUACGCAUUUCACCGCUACACAUGGAAUUCCGUUCUCUCCGCCACUCCUCAAGAAACGCCGUUUCAGAUGCAGCGCUGAAGUUGAGCCCCAGCAUUUCACAUCUGACGUACAUUCCCGCCUACGCACCCUUUACGCCCAGUAAUUCCGACUAACGCUUGCACCUUCCGUAUUACCGCGGCUGCUGGCAC